CAGCCGCCGCGGUAACACGUAGGUGGCAAGCGUUGUCCGGAAUUAUUGGGCGUAAAGGGCUCGCAGGCGGUUUCUUAAGUCUGAUGUGAAAGCCCCCGGCUCAACCGGGGAGGGUCAUUGGAAACUGGGAAACUUGAGUGCAGAAGAGGAGAGUGGAAUUCCACGUGUAGCGGUGAAAUGCGUAGAGAUGUGGAGGAACACCAGUGGCGAAGGCGACUCUCUGGUCUGUAACUGACGCUGAGGAGCGAAAGCGUGGGGAGCGAACAGGAUUAGAUACCCGGGUAGUCCCUGUCUCUUAUCA
This 301-nucleotide ribosomal RNA is filed under the name uncultured bacterium. Its description in RNAcentral is "partial 16S ribosomal RNA". It matches the Rfam family "Bacterial small subunit ribosomal RNA", at positions 509 to 809 of the family's 1533-position model. The record is from RNAcentral.